Molecule: ribosomal RNA, 330 nt
Filed under: uncultured bacterium
Lineage: Bacteria
Description: bacterial SSU rRNA
Rfam family: Bacterial small subunit ribosomal RNA
Source: RNAcentral
UGUGUAGGCGGCUCUCUAAGUUUGGUGUGAAAUCUCCCGGCUCAACCGGGAGGGUGCGCCGAAAACUGGAAGGCUAGAGUGCGGGAUGGGAGAGUAGAAUUCCUGGUGUAGCGGUGAAAUGCGUAGAUAUCAGGAGGAAUACCGGUGGUGCAGACGGCUCUCUGGACCGUAACUGACGCUGAAACACGAAAGCGUGGGUAGCAAACAGGAUUAGAUACCCUGGUAGUCCACGCCCUAAACGAUGCAUAUUUGGUGUAGGUCAUUCAGUUGAUCUGUGCCGGAGCUAACGCGUUAAAUAUGCCGCCUGGGGAGUACAGUCGCAAGGCUGAA